This 315-nucleotide ribosomal RNA is filed under the name uncultured Bacteroidales bacterium. RNAcentral's name for it is "bacterial SSU rRNA". It matches the Rfam family "Bacterial small subunit ribosomal RNA", at positions 28 to 339 of the family's 1533-position model. The record is from RNAcentral. Lineage: Bacteria; Pseudomonadati; Bacteroidota; Bacteroidia; Bacteroidales.
GAUGAACGCUAGCGGCAGGCUUAACACAUGCAAGUCGAGGGGCAGCGGGGAGUAGCAAUACUCUGCCGGCGACCGGCGAAAGGGUGCGUAACGCGUGAGCAACUUGCCCGUAUCUGGGACAUAAGCGAUGGAAACGCCGUCUAAUUUCCCAUAACAACAGAGGCCGCAUGACCUUUGUUUGAAAGAUCCGUCGGAUACGGAUGGGCUCGCGAGACAUUAGCUAGUUGGUGUGGUAACGGCACACCAAGGCGACGAUGUCUAGGGGUUCUGAGAGGAAGGUCCCCCACACUGGAACUGAGACACGGUCCAGACUCC